RNAcentral lists this ribosomal RNA (326 nucleotides) under uncultured bacterium. RNAcentral describes it as "bacterial SSU rRNA". It matches the Rfam family "Bacterial small subunit ribosomal RNA", at positions 28 to 334 of the family's 1533-position model. The record is from RNAcentral.
GACGAACGCUGGCGGCGUGCUUAACACAUGCAAGUCGAACGGAGUGCUCAUGACAGAGGUUUUGGCCAAUGGAUUGAGUUACUUAGUGGCGGACUGGUGAGUAACGCGUGAGGAACCUGCCUUUCAGAGGGGGACAACAGCUGGAAACGACUGCUAAUACCGCAUAAGCCCACGACCCGGCAUCGGGUUGAGGGAAAAGGAGCAAUCCGCUUUGAGAUGGCCUCGCGUCCGAUUAGCUGGUUGGUGAGGUAACGGCCCACCAAGGCAACGAUCGGUAGCCGGACUGAGAGGUUGAACGGCCACAUUGGGACUGAGACACGGCCCAG